AACGAACGCUGGCGGCAUGCCUAACACAUGCAAGUCGAACGAAACCUUCGGGUCUAGUGGCGCGCGGGUGCGUAACGCGGGGGAACCUGCCUUUAGGUUCGGAAUAACUCAGAGAAAUUUGAGCUAAUACCGGAGGAUGUCUUCGGACCAAAGAUUUAUCGCCUUUAGAUGGGCCCGCGUUGGAUUAGAUAGUUGGGGGGGUAAAGGCAUACAAAGGCGACGAUACAUAGCUGGUAUGAGAGGCAGAUCAGCCACACUGGGAGUGAGACACGGCCCAGACUCCUACGGGAGGCAGGAGUGGGGAAUAUUGGACAAUGGGCGAAAGCAUGAUCCAGCAAUGCCGGGAGAGUGAUGAAGGCCUUAGGGUUGUAAAGCUCUUUUACCCGAGAUGAUAAUGACAGUAUCGGGAGAAUAAGCUCCGGCUAACUCCGUG
RNAcentral lists this ribosomal RNA (433 nucleotides) under uncultured bacterium. Its description in RNAcentral is "partial 16S ribosomal RNA". It matches the Rfam family "Bacterial small subunit ribosomal RNA", at positions 29 to 507 of the family's 1533-position model. The record is from RNAcentral.